Triticum dicoccoides is the source of this 388-nucleotide long non-coding RNA. RefSeq lists it as uncharacterized. NCBI's taxonomy places the organism in Eukaryota, Viridiplantae, Streptophyta, Magnoliopsida, Poales, Poaceae. The record is from RefSeq and is a predicted model, not a curated record. The transcript has 3 exons.
AGAUAGAUGUAAUUUCAGUUAAAUUCAGUUAUGCACACAAAAUUCAGUUAAUAGCUUAAUGUUUUGGACUGAUGAUGUUGUUGGAAUUUGUACUACUGAAAAUUAAAAAAAUGUACUCCUUUAAUUAACAUUGAUUCAUUGAGAUGGUGGUAUGAUCAAAUUAAGAAAAUUCAGUACCUUUUCUGUUACUGUAGAGUACUUAAAAAUUAGGAGUAGCUAGGAGCAAAAUUAAAAUUAGGAUUAGGAUGGUGGUAUGAUUGCUGCUAUUCCUAACAUCAUCGGCUGGCUUGCCAUCUCCUUCGCAAAAGACACUUCUUUCCUGUAUAUGGGACGAUUGCUUGAAGGAUUUGGUGUUGGUGUCAUAUCCUACACGGUGAACAGAUGGACA